Ailuropoda melanoleuca (giant panda) is the source of this 7074-nucleotide long non-coding RNA. RefSeq lists it as uncharacterized. Lineage: Eukaryota; Metazoa; Chordata; Mammalia; Carnivora; Ursidae. The record is from RefSeq and is a predicted model, not a curated record. The transcript has 7 exons.
UCCAGAGACUUGACUUAAUGAGAAGUGGACAGUUGCAAAUCCAGGGGCCUGGGAAAAGCCGAACUACCAUGCACUGAAACCCCAGUGGGAGAGGUGCUGCUGUGAACCCCUCCAUGCCGUGGCCACCUGACCCCGGACAGCCUAGAGGGCUCAGACUGAAGGAACAUGUUCUUCCGUGGCAAUCACCAGAGCUCAACAGGGUGAGUGCAGCUGGGUGAAUGCAUUUGAAGCCUCUGCCCACUGCACAGCCACGAACAUCCCACUGUCACAGGGGAGAGUUACAUGGGCCAGCCCAAGUCAAAGUGUGGGAACUACCCUCCACCCACCACGAGGCUGUGGUCAGUGCAGAUUUAGAACUCCGAGGGGAGAGGGCCGAAUUGAGACCAGUAACUCAAGCUACGCUCCUGCUUAAGUUAGAGGCACGCCACGUGGACCCCAGCAUCUUGAAAGCAUCAUUACUGCCUUGGACUCACACCUGCUCGAGCGUUUUGGACGAUCUGAGGAAGAGGAACGCUUGAAGUGAAGCUCUAACCCUUCUAUAAAGAAGAAAGUUCUCACAUCAACUAUUUGGUUACCUUGAAGAUGAAUUUUACAGGAAAGACAUGCACCUGCUGGGCCUCCUGUUGUACGAUCCAAGAGCGGCACCUGGAGUUUUUCAGACCAGGGAGACCAUCCAGACACCAUGGCUGAGGAUGUCGUCACUGAAGUCCAACCAAACUCCUGAAUCUGCCAUUUACUGUGUGAGCUGGAGUUAAGAAUCUGUGGUUUUUAAUUGCACCUCAGGAUACUACCUGGCUCUGUUCUCAACAACUGCGCCCCUUACAGGCCGAGCGGAGAGACUCAAGAUUGGGUUUGAGAAAGCGACCGAGCUCUGUCCAGUUCUGUUGGGAUGUCCAUCCUGGGAAUCCAACCACCAUGGUGUGAGGAAGCCCAAGCCACACAGAGGCCACGUGCAGAAGCUCCAGCCAACGGUCCCUGCUGAGGUUCCAGCUGGCAGGCAGCCUUGAUCACCAGACACAGGUGCAAGGAAGAUUUCAAAAUGGCUCCACCCCCAACCACUGUAACCACACGAGAGGCUCCAUGUGGGAAUUGGCCAACCCCCAGAACUGGGGGAUGUAGUCAUAGAUGUUGUUUGAAGCCACUAAGUGUUGGGGGUGAUUUGUUAUCUAAAGAACAUUCAGUGACAGCACACUGGUGUGGUGUUUAUAACUCUCAUGUUCCCCACCUCAGUGCUCUGGAACCCCACAUAACACUGUCCCCUCGCUGGAAACCAGCCCACCUCAGAUGGGUUCCUGCUGUUUCUGCACAUUUUCCUGGACACUGCCUACCUCGUGUGCUCUCUGGAAGCUUGCCCUGUGGCGGGGGGCAUGGUCUGCCCUCUUCUCUGGAGUCUGCUGAGACUCCUUCUUCUGGCUUAGCUCUCUGCUGAGAUCACUGCUGAUGUGCUCCAGGCCCCAGGAGGCAUGGAGACAUGGCUCUCCCCAAGCUGUUUCCCCUCCCUAGAGUGGCCAGCAAGAUGCCCUGCAUGGAGGCUGAGAGCUCUUCAGUCAUUGUUCUUGGUACCGGUGUCCCAGACACUGUUCACCACUCUGGACACCUCUACCACCUGCAAUGGGAAACAGAGGCACGAACUUGUGUUUAACUCCCAGCUGCCUCCACGUGAUCCAGGAAAUCUUGCCCAUCACCAAGACCACUUUAGGCCCUGCAGCUAAAAAUGUGAGUCCAAGAAGGAGAAAAUCCUUGCAUCCUCCUUGCCUUGCCCCCCACCUCUGUGACACUCCCUUUUCAUGAAUGUUCUUUCCAAGAUGAUUGGCAGCACCCAUCCCAUUCAAAUUUUACCUGGCAAAUGUCCCAGUGCCCAACCAAGAUGUGGUUCAGCAUGAUGGUCCCAGCAAGUGAUCCCCAGAGAGCCCAGCGCUGGUAUUUUCCUGAAAGUCUGGUCUAUCUACAAGCACCCAGUUCUACUUCUUUUCUUUUUCCAGAGUCCUCUGGCAGAGGUUGGGGCAGGUUCCCCUGCACCUGCCCUCUGUCGGAGAGUUAGUUGCUCAAGGUGCUGAGAGCCAGGGCAGGGCUGGGGCUAAAAGUACAGGCUCCAGAGUGAACCAGACCCAGGUUUUCAUCUGCUUUGUGGCCUGGGCCAAGUCACUUACCCUCUGUGGUCUCUGAAAGGGGGAAGUGGUCUUUCUGGGGCUACCAUGAGGGUCAGUGAGGUAAUGUGUAGAAUGUGCUUUGCAUGGCGCUUGGCACAUUGUAGGCUUUCAAUCAAUAGUGGUUGUCACUCUUGUGAUGUCUUGCUAAGGUCGUGUAGCCAGUCAAGGCACAGACAGCCCUGUGUCCCUGCCUCCGUGCUUCCCCUGGCUGACUGCACCCCUCCUCCCAUCAUGCUUGCACACUCCCACUUCCUGGGGCUUCGUUCUCUCCUCACUGCCACCACCUCUAGAGAGACAGUACAGGGAGGUCCUCAGGGCCACAAAGCCAGCUUCCCCUGGGGCUUCCUUUCUGGGCUUACAAAUCAGAAGAAGUUCUUCCUCUCUGCCUUUGCAGAAAGAAGGUUCCAGAAAAGGAGGACAUGUCACCAUUAGGCCUUUGACUCAGGGUCAAAUGGAUCAAGGCUUGGCUGCUAGAAGCAAUAUGAACCGCCAGAGGACUUGGGGUAUGCAACUCUGCCCCUUACUAGCUGUGUGACCUUGGGCAAGUCCCUUUACCACUUUGAGCCUCAGUUUUGUCAUCUCUGAAAUGGGCAUAGUGGUACCAGCCCAGGGCAUCGGAUGCUUCUGCUUUGGUCUGGGGCCUCCUCUUCUCUGGAACCAAAGUCUCUUUUACCUCCUCCCUAAAAGAAAUCUCAUGGUGAUGAUGUAUACAGGUUUGCUUGCUCUUCACUUUCAAGCACCUUGAGGCCUGGGACCUCUGCUGUGUCCCCUGUUAGUGGCUCCACAUGCCUCACAGGACCAUAUACAAAGAAACCAACCUGUGUCAAAGGAGCCGAUGUUGAUGGAUUUGUGACCUCACAGCUCCCGCUGGGACUGAGAGCCCAGAAGAAAAAGGCCCGAACUAGUGCCCCAACCAGGCAGAGGUAGGGGCAGGGGCAGGCCAAGGAGGGGUGCUCUUAGCUCACCUGGCCUUUGGAGAAUUCUUAGACAGUGGCCCAGGGGCCAGCCCAGCUCAGAGCACUGCAGGCGGGACUAACUCAGAGGAUGACCAGCUGCCCCACUUCCCGGAGUCCUAGAGCCCCAAAGGUGCCUCAGCCAGAGAAAUGUCUACAUUCCACAGGCCUGAGAUGUUUUACUUUCCCCAAGAGCUUCAUCUUGUAAUCUUUGUUAUUCUCGUUGUCAUCAUCCAAUAAGCUUACGUAAUGCUUAUGAUACACCGUGGCUGUUGUAAGUGCUCAAAACAUGUGAAUUCACCUACUGUACCCACUGUACAGCAUGGGUGCUAUUCACUGACCUGGGGCUCACAGAGGCUGGGUAACAUGCCCAUGUCAUGUGGCUAAUGGGCAGAGCGGGGCUCUUUGCUUCCUUCUGAGAGCAGCAGCUGAGAGCAAGGUGCAAAAGUGUUCUAGGCCCAUCCCCAGGCACAACUGUUAAGUUCUCUUCUAUGCCACCUGGGGCCUCGUGAGCUUUGGUUUUUUCAUUUGUAAAUGGGGACAAUAACGGCCAGCUCUAGAGGCACGGGGCUGGGUACAGGAAGGAGCUCAGUACUAGGAAGGAGCUCAGUACUCAAAAUCUGGCCUUCUCUCCUUCCUGUCCACCCCCUGGCCAAGGCUGGCUCCGAAGUCCUCACUGAUACAUUUCUGCUGGAACAACAUUCUGGGGUGGAAGGGGGGUGAGAGCAGAGCCAGGGAGGAGCCUUGACUCCAGGGCUGGCUGCACUGUGGGGCAGCUCGAAUGUGCCAUCCUCAGGCCAGGGAGCGUGUGACCAGACCUUCCCCUGUAAGGCAGAAAGCCUUGGCUGGCCCCUUUAAAGAACACUUGGCCAGGCUCACAGCAACCCCAGGGCCUGGCCCUGAGCUGUGGGCUGUUUGCCAGGGGAGGGUGACCCCGGGUCAGAAGGCCUCCCCAGGAUGACCCACCCCCACCUUUGAGGAAAUCCACUCUGUUCCCCAAAGGAUUCCCUGUGUGAGUGUCCCGCUGGCCAAGGUACACAGGCCUUUGUUUGUGGAGCCUGGGGUGUGGGCAGGAGGGGAGGAUGGGGCUUGGGCCAGGAGGAGCACCUGGCCUGGUGGAAGCCCAUUGGGCACGUGCCCAGGAGUCCUGGAUAUCCCUGGAAAUCAGUUUCUGGCCCCCAGAACCCUACCCCUGGUCCUUCUGGGUCCUCUGGGUGAGGUGAGGCCUAACAGGGACCUCAGGGUCGAGAGGCAGAGACCAGAGUACAGUUUGCCCUUCUCCUAGAGGAAGGGAGCCAGGGAGGGUGGCACUGGCUGAAGGUCACACGGGAGCCCUGGCUGCUGGCCACCGUGGGCUGGGCCUGUCACGGGAGGCCUCUCGUGCACUGAGGGCUUCAAGGUAGCCCUUUGACAUUCUUUGCAAAGGAGGUGACAGCCUUAGGCAUGACUGAGAUAUCCACAGGGCUAAAGGAAGCUCAUUUUAUGGCCACCAGGGAGGGUUCCUCACUGGAGGCACCCCCGUUGGCCCCAAAGCAUGUACAUGCAGAAAAGAAAUCCUUUACCUAGCUCUCAGCUACCCCUGGGGUUCUGCCCAUGGAGGGGGCUUGAAAAGCCAUUACUGAUUGAUUGCAAGCAUUCAAAACAAGACCGUGAUUUUUCUAACCCUAUCUUGAUAUGUCUUGGUUUGGUAAGACAUAUCACUAAGACCCUUAAAAAUGACUCUGGUUAGGGUUGUUCUCCACCUCCGUGGGCCUGGGCCUGGGGACUUCUGGGCGAGUGGCCGGGCAGCCUCCCCCCGACUCCCCACCCACCCUAGGGAUGGUGGGAGGGUGGCGAGGAGUCCCAUCUGAGCCAAGUGCUGAUGUGAGGGACAGGUGGACACCUCCCAAAUCAGCCCCGUGCCGAAGACAGCCUCUUGGCUGCCAGGCCUGUCUCAGACAGCCUCUCUUCUGUGACCUUGGGCCACAGACCCCUACCCCACUCAUCCCCACUCCUGCCUGCGGCCUCAGUGUCUCCACCUGAGCCUUCAAGGGGCUGAGCUGAGUGACCUCUCUGGUAUCUUCCAGCCCUGUCCCUGCAUGGCAAGGACACCAUAGCUCGGUCCUGGGGAAGCCCCUCCGAUGUGGGGAACUACCUCGAGCCGUCCAAGGCUUGAGCUGCCUCAGGAAGGAAAGAAAAUGCUCUUUAAGUUGUCAUAACAGAGCGGGCCUCCAGGCACCUCCUGUUUACCGAGGCUGAGUAAAUACAGCCAGGCCCUUAGCAACAGGCACAAAGGGGCCCUUGUGCCUCCCGCUUGCCCUCCCUCAGCUCCCGCCCUGAGCUCAGCCCCAGCUGGGAGCACUGCGUGAGGCAGGGUGGCCUGGCUCAGGGCCACCUGCUGGGUGACAGUGGUGGGGGCGCCUGGGGUGUGUCAGGGAGCCAGGUCCUCAGGGGUCCCCGUCUUCUGUAGACAGGAGGUUCUGGCCUAUUUCAAUAUGGUUUGUCAGUCAGGGAUGGAGCAGGUAAACCUUAUACCAAGGAAGCGGGGGGUUCAAAGUCAGUCUUAACUGUGACAAUCUAGGCAUGUUAUGAAGCUGCCUUGAGCCUCAGUUUCCUCGUUUGUGAUCAGAGACUACACCUGCCUCACCUGGCCACCUGGGCACCAAAAGAGAUGAAUGUGCAUUCCAUAAAACCUGCCCUGCAGACAGAGGGAAAUGCUUCGGGCCAAGGGGCAGACCAGGAGUUAAGAGUCAAGGAUAAAAUGUCGAGCACUAGAAACACCCAGAGCCCCCUUUGAAUGAUGAGGAGUCUCGCUGCUGGAAGCCUGCUCUGGGCAGGCACUGGGGGGCAGGCAGAGAGGCCCGUACACCUGUUCCCAGAGACCCUCACCGUCUACACAGGGGAUAAGGCAGAGGAUGACGAAGGCUGAUUUCUGUAGUAUGUAAAGUGUUACCACAAAUCAAUAAAAGGAUGACUGGCCUUGUUGAAAAAUGGGAAAAGAUGAGAAAAAGUAAUUCAUAAAAAAAUGGCUGAUAAACAACUGGGGAAAAAAAACCCCCAACACUACCAGUAACAAAAAUGAAAACAAAAGCAACAGUGAGAUUUUCCUUUUUCCCCUCCCAUUAGAUGAUCGAAAGAUUAGAAAUGUUUCUCUGAGUAUUUGCAAGAGUGGGGGAAAUGGGUGUCUUCAUAUACUAACGCUCUGCCAGUUACUAACUCUGGACCACUGCCAUAAAUUUCCCUGGGGCCUCACCUUUCUCAUCUGUAAAAUGGGCAUGACAGCACCCACCUGGCAGGUUUGUGGGAAGAUUAAAUAAGUCAUUACGGAUAAAGUGCUCUGGACAGUGCCCAGGCAAGAAAAAGUGCUUAAUACAUGGUAGUUAUUUAUUUGUAUUAUUACUGUUGGUUUAAAGUAUAAAUUGGUACAACCUUUCUAAACGCCAAUUUGGAAACACGUAUCUCACUUUUAAAUGUGCCCACUAAUUCCAGCUCUAAGAAAAUAAUCAGACAAAUGAGCAAAGAACGAUACACAGAGAUAUUCACCCGAGUGUGGUUUGUGAACACAAGACAUUGGAAAUAAUGUAAAUGGCUGUGAAGAGGGAGCAGAAUAAUUAGAUUAUAAUCCGCCUCUCCGAUGGAAUACGGCCCAGCAACGAGAUCAGAUUGGGUAGACGUGUUCGUAUUGACGUGGAAAGUUUUACAUGUCACACUGAUGGAGAACAAAGCAGGUCAUGUGAUGUCUGAUGCAAAAAGAUGGCAUUUCUGGGAGAGUGUAAACAGAUUUGUAGGGUGUCCGAGCCCUGAAGGACGCAUGCCAGGAUAUUCCCCAGCGUGCUAGCGGCAGUGUUCUCUUAAGGUAGCUGAUAUUUUCUUCUUUAUACCUUUUAUACUUGUUUAUACAAACAAGUAUAAAGUUGUUUUUAAAAAGUUUAUUAAAGCUAUUUUUUUUUUUCCGAUAAUGUUCAAAGGCUGUUAAGUGCUGAAUGGAAACA